UAAUUCUGUACGGUGGAUCACUCGGCUCGUUAUUCGAUGAAGAGCGCAGCAAAGUGCGAGAAAGCAAUGCGAAUUGCAGGACACAUUGAGCAUGAAUAACUCGAACGCAUCUAGCAGCC
This 119-nucleotide ribosomal RNA is filed under the name Adineta vaga. RNAcentral's name for it is "5.8S ribosomal RNA". It matches the Rfam family "5.8S ribosomal RNA", at positions 1 to 118 of the family's 154-position model. Rfam says of the family: 5.8S ribosomal RNA (5.8S rRNA) is a component of the large subunit of the eukaryotic ribosome. It is transcribed by RNA polymerase I as part of the 45S precursor that also contains 18S and 28S rRNA. Lineage: Eukaryota; Metazoa; Rotifera; Eurotatoria; Adinetida; Adinetidae. The record is from RNAcentral.